RNAcentral lists this ribosomal RNA (253 nucleotides) under uncultured bacterium. RNAcentral describes it as "partial 16S ribosomal RNA". It matches the Rfam family "Bacterial small subunit ribosomal RNA", at positions 524 to 776 of the family's 1533-position model. The record is from RNAcentral.
UACGGGGGGGGCAAGCGUUGUUCGGAAUUACUGGGCGUAAAGGGCUCGUAGGUGGCCAACUAAGUCAGACGUGAAAUCCCUCGGCUUAACCGGGGAACUGCGUCUGAUACUGGAUGGCUUGAGAUUGGGAGAGGGAUGCGGAAUUCCAGGUGUAGCGGUGAAAUGCGUAGAUAUCUGGAGGAACACCGGUGGCGAAGGCGGCAUCCUGGACCGACACUGACGCUGAGGAGCGAAAGCCAGGGGGGCAAACGGG